GAAAGUGCUGGAGAACCGGAAGGACUUUUGUCCACCAGCCAAUCAGAGGACGAGUUUUGUAUCAAUGACGAUGGCGCUUCACACAGACUUAAAUUUCCUCCAGAGAUCAGGAUUUGAGAGUUUGUUUGCGUUGAAAAGAAAGAGAAGAGGAACAGGCAGGGUUUGAGAGGUUGAGGUUUUCAAGAGAAAAGGGAACAAUUCAGUAACAGAACAGUGAAGCUGUGAGUGGUAGAUGGAGAGGGAGGAGGUCUGAGCAGCUGGGAAAAGAAGAGCAAAAAGACUGAUUGGGGAAUCCAACAGUGAGAGAUCCAGAGGCUGUUACUCUUGGGGCUGCCUAUGGAAAUGGGCUGUGGGAAGACCGCCCUCUGAAGGGACUUCAGUCCAACGUCCAGGAGAGGAAAGGAACAGAAUGUAAACAUUGGAAAUACAGAGAGUUGUGGGACUCUGUAACUGGAAUCAGUGUCAUAUGUGCUGAGGGGGGAAAUGCUUGUGAUUUUUGUGGAAGCUGUUUUUAUUGUAUGAGCUAUUUAAAGUGAAAUUUAGCUCUAUUUUUAAAAACAACUUUCUUUUUUAAUGCAUGCCAAAUUUAUGUUGAUUUUAGUUUGAUUGUUACAGUAAAAGUUUUAAAAAGUGAAGCCUUGCCCUUCAGUUUAUUCCGUUGAGGUUGCCUGGGAAUUUGUUUCUUUAUUUUAAGGUUAUCGUUCUCCAUGGGGAUUGUAACAACAGAGAUGUGUCUAGUGUUGUUAUAUGGAACAUAUCAGAUAUGUCAUUUAUGGUUCUGUAGUAAAGUUCAUUCUUUAUUAUUUCUAGUCUUGUAACAUAGUACUGUAGGUUUGUUAUAUAUUUCCAGUCAUAGAGUCAUUCUAGCACAGACAGAGACUAUUGUUUUACUCAAUUCCCUGCCAACUCCCUGUAGAGCGAUCCAGUCAGUCCCAUUCCCCCUCCAAGUCCUGGUAACCCUGCAAGUUUAUUUCCUUCAAGUGUCCAUCCAAUUUAAUUUUGAAAUCAUUGAUUAUCUCCAAUUCCACCAUCCACAUAUGAACUGAGUUCCAAUCCAUUUUCAUGGCCCUAUGUCCUGGACAGGAAGCAGUGAGCAUGUUUCUGUCAAUCAGCAUGGACUGGCACCUUCAGGAGAACUUGGAGAGUGUAUAUAGGGACAGUAAAGUGAGAUUAGAGAGAUAGUUUGUGGAAUGGAGACUUACAACUUUUCAGGAAUGAGAGAAGAAAUUGGAAGGAGAGGAUCUGAAGACAGAAAUCUCAAAACAAACAUCACGUUAAGAUCUGACAGAGUCACUCAAGUAAUCACAAUGUGAAUUUUUUUGAAUCUAGAUGGAAAAAUGUUUGCCUCUUCUGUCUGCUUCAAAAGAUUUAAACAUCAACUGGAAAACACUGAAACACACACAUCCAAGUGAGAGCAUUCAGGUUACGCAGCCUGGGAAAAUAUCACACCAUUCGCAGUGACGAGAGACUGUACACAUGUUCUGUGUACAGGAUGAGACUUCAACUGAUCAUCAAAACUGGAAGGACAAAAGGCCACUUGCAUCAGGGAGAAAUUGUGGAAGUUUUGGGACUGUGGGAAGAGCUUCAAAGCCCCAUAUGAGCUGGAAAUUAAUUGACACAGCCACACAGGAGAGGCCAUUCACCGGCUCUGUGUGUGGGAAGGGAUUCACUCAGUUAUCCCACUUGCUGACACACCAGAGAGUAAUUUGUGAGAAACUGUUCCAACUCAAGAGAACAUCAAGAGCUAGACGCCAUAGAUUCAAAUUAAUGGACAAAAGAGGAAGUAAUGUGAGGAAAACUUUUUCACCCAGAGGGUGAUUGGAGUCUGGAAUGAACUUUCUGAAAGAGUGGCGGGGGUAGGUUCGAUCAAGGUAUUUAAAAGGAAAUUGGAUUGUUAUUUGAAAAGAGAGAAUUUGCAAGGUUACGGGGAUAAGGCAGGGGAAAGAGUUUAGGUAGAAUGGUCUACAUCAGUAUUUAUGCUCCACAUGAGCUUCCACCCACCCCUCUUCACUCCCUCAUCAGCAUAUCCUUCUAUUUGUUUCUCCCUCAUUUAUGUAUCUAGUUUCCCCUUAAAUGUAUUCAUGUUAUUCACCUCAACCACUUGCUGUGGUAGUGAAUUCCAUUCUCACUACUCGCUGGAUGAAGAGGUUUCUCAAUAAAGCUCUAUUGGAUUAUUGAACCUCUUCAUAAUCUUAAAGACUUCCAUCAGGUCACCCUUCAGUCUUCUCUUUUCUGGAGAAAACCAGCCCUGAAGAAAAUGCUCUCAGUUCUGGUAUUAUUAUCCUGACUUUUUGUUGCCCCCUCUCCAGUGCUUCUAUUUCCUUUUUCUAAAGGGAGAUCAUUAAUGUUGACAGUACUCUCAGUGUAGUCUAACCAUGGUUCUAAACAAGUUGAACAUACCCUCCCUGCUUUUCAAUUAUAUCCCUCUAGAAUAGAACCCUCUAUAUGGGCCCCACAUUUAAGGAAAGAUUUGAAAUUCUUUGAGAGGCUGGAAACAGGAUUAAGAGGAAUGGCACCAGAGAUGAGGGUCUUCAGUUAGUUGGAGAGACUGAAGCAGCUGAAAUUCCUCUGUCUAGACCAUAGAGUCAUUAGGGUAAGGAAUGGGGCAUUUCGGCCAAUCAAUUGCAAACCAGCUCUCUGGAGCAAACCAAUUAGUCCCAUUGCCCUAUUCCAUCCCCACAUCCCUGUAGGUUUAUUUGUCCACUCAAUUUCCUUUUGAAAUCAAUCCAUCAUCUCCACUUCCAUCAACCUCAUUAGAAGCAGAUUCCAGGCCAUUCCCACUCACUUUAAAUGCCCAUGAGGCUCAUCGACCAAAGGAGGCCAUUAGGCCCAUCAUGUUCAUGCUGGCUCUUUACAGAACUACCCAAUUAAUCCAGUCGCCCUGCAGUUUUAUUUUCCUUUCAAGAAUUUGUCCAGGACCCUUUUUAAAGUUGGAAUCAAUUCUGCUUCUCACACUGUUUUCAGGCAGUGCAUUCCAAAUCACAACAACUCGCUGUGUUUUAAAACAAAUAAUCCAGGAUAUAGUGUGUUUGAAGUUUUACAUAAUAUUCAAGAUGGUAUCAAAGACAUGGUUAUUACACAAUGUUCAGACUAAUCUUUAUCGAUGAUUUUGAUGAAGGGAUUGUGUGUAAUAUAUCAAAGUUUAUGGACAAUUAGAAAAAAUUGCAUUUCUAUAGCACCUCUCAACCACAGGAUUUCCUAAAGCAGUUUACAGCCAAUGAAAUACUUUUGAAGUGUCAUCGCUGUUGUAAUGUGGGAAACUGUAGGUAGGCCUGGGUAGUUAAAAUUUUGUUUUAAAAAUCAAACUUUCAUACUGUAUUCACUGUUAUAAGUAACAAAGUCAAGAAACCAUUAGCAUGUGGCUUCUUGCAGCCUUUUUGCAUUCUGUAACUUUUCUUUAUUAAUUAUAUAUUGAUUUUGUAUUAGAAGCCAGUCAUGAAAUAGAUGAUUAUUCAGUAGUGAACCUUGAAUAAUUUAUCAUUAGUGAAUCAAAGUAUUAUUGUAAAAGCUGGAUCUGUAUUUUAAAAAUGAGUGCUGUACAUUUCUCAAAAAUGCAGUGCUAGCAGAAAUUGUUUAAACAAAUAAACUCUUUUCUAAUUUUGAUAAGCUUCAGGACAUCAUAUUCUGUCAAAGUCCAGCUCAAGAAUAAGGCUCAUUGUUCAAUCUGAUCAAGAUCAGUGAGAAAGAAAGCUAUUGUCUUUCACAAACUGUCUCUUUGAACCAGUCUAUCUUGUAUUAAUCAAAUGUAUUAAUUAAAGAUUGCUGUAUUCAUUAACGACCAGUCAGUAACAGAGGAUUAAAUAAAGUCGUGAGCCUUAAUUGAGUUAAAAUUAA
Carcharodon carcharias (great white shark) is the source of this 3834-nucleotide long non-coding RNA. RefSeq lists it as uncharacterized. The record is from RefSeq and is a predicted model, not a curated record. Lineage: Eukaryota; Metazoa; Chordata; Chondrichthyes; Lamniformes; Lamnidae. The transcript is spliced from 2 exons.